RNAcentral lists this ribosomal RNA (340 nucleotides) under uncultured bacterium. Its description in RNAcentral is "bacterial SSU rRNA". It matches the Rfam family "Bacterial small subunit ribosomal RNA", at positions 1022 to 1357 of the family's 1533-position model. The record is from RNAcentral.
GUAGUACCAACAGCAGGNGUUGCAUGGACUGUCGUCAGGCUCGUGUCGUGAGAUGUUGUGGUUAAGUCCCGCGAACGAUGCUGCAACCCUCGUCGCAUGUUGCCAGCGGUUCGGCCGGGCACCCAUGCGAGACCGCCGGCGUCAAGCCGGAGGAAGGUGGGGAUGACGUCAAGUCAUCAUGCCCCUUAUGUCCUGGGCUGCACACGUGCUACAAUGGCCGGCACAAUGGGCUGCCACUGCGCGAGCAGGAGCGAAUCCCCAAAGCCGGUCCCAGUUCGGAUUGGAGGCUGCAACCCGCCUCCAUGAAGUCGGAGUUGCUAGUAAUCGCGUGUANUACCAA